This 73-nucleotide transfer RNA is filed under the name Apaloderma vittatum (bar-tailed trogon). It matches the Rfam family "tRNA". Rfam says of the family: Transfer RNA (tRNA) molecules are approximately 80 nucleotides in length. Lineage: Eukaryota; Metazoa; Chordata; Aves; Trogoniformes; Trogonidae. The record is from Rfam by way of RNAcentral.
GGCCGAUUAGCUGAGUUGUUUAGAGCGUGGUGCUGAUAACACCAAGGUUGUGAGUUCGAUCCCCGUUCGGUCC